This 187-nucleotide ribosomal RNA is filed under the name uncultured bacterium. RNAcentral's name for it is "partial 16S ribosomal RNA". It matches the Rfam family "Bacterial small subunit ribosomal RNA", at positions 1314 to 1500 of the family's 1533-position model. The record is from RNAcentral.
GCCUGCAUGAAGCCGGAAUUGCUAGUAAUGGCAGGUCAGCAUACUGCCGUGAAUACGUUCCCGGGCCUUGUACACACCGCCCGUCACACCAUGAGAGUUGGGGAUACCCAAAGCCCGUGAGCCAACUGUAAAGAGGCAGCGGUCUAAGGUAGAAUCAAUGAUUGGGGUGAAGUCGUAACAAGGUAAC